This 466-nucleotide ribosomal RNA is filed under the name uncultured bacterium. RNAcentral's name for it is "SSU rRNA". It matches the Rfam family "Bacterial small subunit ribosomal RNA", at positions 26 to 518 of the family's 1533-position model. The record is from RNAcentral.
AGGACUAACGCUGGCGGCGUGCCUAACACAUGCAAGUCGAACGAGAGUAGCAAUACUCUAGUGGCAGACGGGUGAGUAACACGUGGUCAACCUACCUCUAUGUGGGGGAUAACUAGCCGAAAGGUUAGCUAAUACCGCAUACGAUCGUCGAGCGGCAUCGCUUGACGAUGAAAGGAGCAAUCCGCAGAGAGACGGGACCGCGUCCCAUUAGCUAGUUGGUGGGGUAAUGGCCUACCAAGGCGACGAUGGGUAGCUGGCUUGAGAGAGCGACCAGCCACACUGGGACUGAGACACGGCCCAGACUCCUACGGGAGGCAGCAGUGAGGAAUUUUCCGCAAUGGGCGAAAGCCUGACGGAGCGACGCCGCGUGUGGGAAGAAGGCCUUCGGGUCGUAACCACUGUCGAAGGGGAAGAUAUUGACGGUACCCUUGGAGGAAGCCCCGGCUAACUACGCGCCAGCAGCCGC